AUUGUGCUGAAUGCUGUAUCAUUCUUUGCUCACCUACAUUGAACAGAUCUCAACACUGAAAACAUCUUUCUGGAAUAAGCACUCUAAGAUCUGUGUGUUUGGAGUUGAAGAGAUGUCACUGGUGAGUAAAAGCCAGGAGAGUUCCUGGGGUGGAUUUAAUGACUGGGUCUGGUGCUUUGGAUUGCAGGCUGGAGUGUGUUCAAUGAGUCAUUAAAAAAAAAAAAAAAAAAGAAAGAAAUUGGGAAUUCCUGUCAGCUGAUGUUCUAUCUGCCUUGUGUACAGAUUGACUUCAAGGACUUCCACCAUGUUCCUUCUGAUUCCAUUUACAAGAAUACCCUUGUUAUGAAGGCAUGGACAAAAGCUGAUUACUCUUA
RNAcentral lists this long non-coding RNA (374 nucleotides) under Mus pahari (shrew mouse). RNAcentral describes it as "lncRNA (MGP_PahariEiJ_G0006196.1)". The record is from RNAcentral. Lineage: Eukaryota; Metazoa; Chordata; Mammalia; Rodentia; Muridae.